RNAcentral lists this ribosomal RNA (282 nucleotides) under uncultured bacterium. RNAcentral's name for it is "partial 16S ribosomal RNA". It matches the Rfam family "Bacterial small subunit ribosomal RNA", at positions 29 to 328 of the family's 1533-position model. The record is from RNAcentral.
AAUGAACGUUGGCGGCGUGGAUUAGGCAUGCGAGUCGCGCGAGAAUGUAGCAAUACAGGAAAGCGGCGAAAGGGAGAGGACAACAUGGGAAUCUGCCCGGGGGACGAGGAUAGCGUCGGGAAACUGACGGUAAUACUCGAUAAUGUUUGCGGACCAAAGGUGAGAUUCCGCCCCUGGAUGAGCCCAUCGCCCCAUUAGCUUGUUGGCGGUGUAAUAGACCACCAAGGCGAUGAUGGGUAGCUGGUGUGAGAGCACGACCAGCCUCACUGGCACUGAGACACU